GAUGAACGCUGACAGAAUGCUUAACACAUGCAAGUCUACUUGAUCCUUCGGGUGAUAGUGGCGGACGGGUGAGUAACGCGUAAAGAACUUGCCCUGCAGUCUGGGACAACAUUUGGAAACGAAUGCUAAUACCGGAUAUUAUGUGAGUUUCGCAUGAAAUUCAUAUGAAAGCUAUAUGCGCUGCAGGAGGGCUUUGCGUCCUAUUAGCUAGUUGGUGAGGUAACGGCUCACCAAGGCGGUGAUAGGUAGCCGGCCUGAGAGGGUGAACGGCCACAAGGGGACUGAGACACGGCCCUUACUCCUACGGGAGGCAGCAGUGGGGAAUAUUGGACAAUGGACCAAAAGUCUGAUCCAGCAAUUCUGUGUGCACGAUGAAGUUUUUCGGAAUGUAAAGUGCUUUCAGUUGGGACGAAGUAAGUGACGGUACCAACAGAAGAAGCGACGGCUAAAUACGUGCCAGCAGCCGCCGUAA
RNAcentral lists this ribosomal RNA (472 nucleotides) under uncultured bacterium. Its description in RNAcentral is "partial 16S ribosomal RNA". It matches the Rfam family "Bacterial small subunit ribosomal RNA", at positions 28 to 523 of the family's 1533-position model. The record is from RNAcentral.